GACGAACGCUGGCGGCGUGCUUAACACAUGCAAGUCGAGCGAUGAAGUUCCUUCGGGAAUGGAUUAGCGGCGGACGGGUGAGUAACACGUGGGUAACCUGCCUCAUAGAGGGGAAUAGCCUUCCGAAAGGAAGAUUAAUACCGCAUAAGAUUGUAGUAUCGCAUGAUAUAGCAAUUAAAGGAGGAAUCCGCAAUGAGAUGGACCCGCGUCGCAUUAGCUAGUUGGUGAGGUAACGGCUCACCAAGGCGACGAUGCGUAGCCGACCUGAGAGGGUGAUCGGCCACAUUGGGACUGAGACACGGCCCAGACUCCUACGGGAGGCAGCAGUGGGGAAUAUUGCACAAUGGGGGAAACCCUGAUGCAGCAACGCCGCGUGAGUGAUGACGGUCUUCGGAUUGUAAAACUCUGUCUUCAGGGACGAUAAUGACGGUACCUGAGGAGGAAGCCACGGCUAACUACGUGCCAGCAGCCGCCGUAA
Molecule: ribosomal RNA, 478 nt
Filed under: uncultured bacterium
Lineage: Bacteria
Description: partial 16S ribosomal RNA
Rfam family: Bacterial small subunit ribosomal RNA
Source: RNAcentral